AGAAUAUUAGUCAAUGCUCGUAAGAGUGAACUAGCUAACUGAAAUCAUAAGAGUCACUUUGUUGAUGAUUAUGAUAACGUAAGGGAAAAAAUUGAUAUUACCUUACUAUAAGUGUUGUCCAAAACUAGUGCCAGAAGACUCGGUAAGGCUAGAAACGCAAACGUUAGUCGUCUUAAUCAGGCGUAAAGGGUGUGUAGGCUGCUUAAAUAUUUAAUGAUAAUGUAUUAUUUUAAAAUUAUAAAUUAUAGAUAGUGAAUAUAUAUAAAAUAUUAAAUAGAAAAUACAAAAAGAUAAAUUAAAAAAAGCUAGGAUCAAAUUGAGGAUAAACCAAAUAAUACUUAGAGUAGGGAUGAUAUCUAUAGAUACUAAGGGGAAUACUAAAGGUGAAAGCUUUUUAUCUACUACUGAUUGACGCUGAGAAACGAAGGUGAGAAUAGGAAAUAGGAUUAGAUACCCAGAUACCUCUCACUGUCAACGAUGAAUGGUAGUUUGUUAGUCUUUUUAAUAAAAACUAGUAACGAUGUUAACACGAUAACCAUUCCGCCUUGCGAGUACGGUUGCAAAACUGAAACCAAAAAAAUUAGUCGG
Molecule: ribosomal RNA, 588 nt
Filed under: Inocephalus sp.
Lineage: Eukaryota; Fungi; Basidiomycota; Agaricomycetes; Agaricales; Entolomataceae
Description: partial small subunit ribosomal RNA
Rfam family: Bacterial small subunit ribosomal RNA
Source: RNAcentral